Long non-coding RNA from Tachysurus fulvidraco (yellow catfish), 290 nucleotides. RefSeq lists it as uncharacterized. Lineage: Eukaryota; Metazoa; Chordata; Actinopteri; Siluriformes; Bagridae. The record is from RefSeq and is a predicted model, not a curated record. The transcript has 3 exons.
UGUGUGUGUGUGUGUGUCACUGCCCUUCCCCCCCCUCUGCAGUAUAAACUGUAAUGAAAGUGAAAGUCAGCAGCUCCAUUUUGUGACGAGUGAAAAGUCAAAGAUUUCAGGAGUAAAAACACAAAUGAUGGAGGGAAAGAGAUCAGAUUCACCAGAACCCAGCUGUGUGUCCAUGAAGAGUGAGCGGUCAAUGGGACUUCCAAUUACCUUCAGAGACGGAGACAGUUCUACUGAUGUGAGACCACAAAAAUCAAACAUCAGCACAAAUCAUCUGGACUCUAUAUUCAAGG